UGGAGGAAUUCCCUACUGAACGAUUUUACGGUGGGCAGAUACUCUGGGAAUUGCCAAAAUCUUAAACUGGAGAAAAAGUGGGAGAUCUAUUGUCCUUUGAAGAUAAUUUUAUUGCAGCAAGAAAGACAGUAGAGGAAAGUUCUCCAUGAAUGUACGUCACAAUGAUGAUGACAGACCAGAUCCCACUGGACCUGCCACCUUUACUGAAUGGGGAGAUGCCUAUGAUGCCUCACAUGGUUAAUGGGGAUGGAUCACAGCAGGUCAUUUUGGUUCAAGUCAACCCUGGAGAAACAUUUACAAUAAGAGCAGAAGAUGGGUCCUUGCAGUGUAUUCAAGG
Lepisosteus oculatus (spotted gar) is the source of this 337-nucleotide non-coding RNA. The record is from RefSeq and is a predicted model, not a curated record. NCBI's taxonomy places the organism in Eukaryota, Metazoa, Chordata, Actinopteri, Semionotiformes, Lepisosteidae.